Molecule: long non-coding RNA, 1522 nt
Filed under: Phaseolus vulgaris (common bean)
Lineage: Eukaryota; Viridiplantae; Streptophyta; Magnoliopsida; Fabales; Fabaceae
Description: long non-coding RNA (PVUL_LNC002111)
Source: RNAcentral
AGAAGAAGAGUUACUUUGUAUAAAUUGUGUGAGGUGUUAGUGAGGUUUGAAUUCCUCUUAGCAUUUAGGUCUUAUCUUAUGAGUAUUGAGAGCUCUUUAGUGGCGGCUAUCUUCACUUAUCUUGGAGGCCAAUCACACUCCAAGUGUGUGUUCCACUUCUCAAAUCCAUCACUUAAGCUUUCUCCUUCCUUCAUCUAUUCUUCCAUUGUCAUUUGAUUUUUACUCUUUGUAUCAUGUUCUUGCUUGGUUUUCCUUGUUUCCAUUCGACAAUUCUAUUUUGAUUUCUUUUUCUUGUUCUUUAAUUCCGCACCUUCUAGCAUCAUUUUCACCUUAUAAUUGUCUUUUCCUUUUGCCUUUGUGAAAUGAACCUUCACAUCUACUUAACCACUUGGUUAAGUUAAUGUCCAGUGGGGAUUUUCCUAAGGUCUUCACUCUUAAAUUCCUAAAAUUUCAAUCUAAGUAAAGUGUCACACCAAAAAAUGAAAAAUCCUAAAAUCAACUCACAUCAAGUGUAAUCAUUACAAGUUAAAUUAUAAAUAAGAGCAUUAUCAUAAGAUGGGUACACACAUUAUUACAAGAGAAACAAUGAGACCAGAAGAGAGAAAAACAACAUUAGAUCAAUACAUCAAUAUUUAAAAGCAAUAGUAAGAGUAUGUGACAAUUAUUAUAUGUAAACUAUUAUAUUAUUCUUGUCAUAAGAGGUGUCUCUAACCUCAUUGUUCUAUUUGUCCUUAUCUCCAUUGCUCUUUGAUUGGUGUAUAAAUUGACUCGGGUAAGGAACUUUAUGUUUUUCCUUACGUCUGGUAUCAAGUCAGGAGUUCCUAAUUUUAUUAUUUUGUUUGACUGAUAUUCCCUUGGCUUAAAAAGGGUAUUCUCAGUUUACCUUACAUAUGAAGUCUCACUAUUUAGAGGGAGUGAGAAUUUAAAUUAUAUGUAGUUAAAUAUUGGACAUUGAGGAUUUAAAUGAAUGGAAUUUGACAAGCUCAUUUAUGCUAACUAGUCAUUACAUGGAUGAUUUAAAUUGUUUCACGUGAAUCAAAUAACGAGUUAGAUUGUAUGUUUUACUUCAUCGUUGACUCUAUUUUGAGAAAAAGUGAAAAUUAAAUUAUAUCUAGCUGAAAGUUGGGCCUUAGGGAUUUAAAUAAGUGGGAUUUGAUAAGUUCAUUUAUCUUGACUAGUCAUUACAAAAAUAAUUUUAAUUAAUACAUGUGAAUCAAAUAGUGAGUCUGAACAAUUAUAUCAUAUGUACUUAUAUUAGUAAGUCUGAUCAAUUGUAUAAUUUGUACCUUUACCAAUAAGUCUGACUACUUGCAUCAGUGAGUGUGAGUAAUCACAUCAUUUGUGCUUAAGUCUGAUUAAUCACAUCAUUUGUGCUUGAGUUUGAGUAAUGCAUCAUAUGUGCUUGAGUCUAACUAAACGCAGCAUAUUUACUUGUACCAGUGAAUCUGACUAAUCACAUCAUUUGUGCUUGAUUUAGUGAGUCUAACUAAUUGUAUUGAUUGUACGAUAUACAUAUUUGCAU